This 945-nucleotide long non-coding RNA is filed under the name Phasianus colchicus (ring-necked pheasant). RNAcentral's name for it is "lncRNA (ENSPCLG00000007968.1)". Lineage: Eukaryota; Metazoa; Chordata; Aves; Galliformes; Phasianidae. The record is from RNAcentral.
GUAGGGUUAGAUUAUGCACACUGCUCAUCUGCUGCAUGCUGCUGGGCACACUGCAGUUGGCUGAUCUGCAAGUCUAUCUGUGUGCCCUGUUGAGAGAGGUUCCUACUGUCUCUGGAAGAAAACAAGUUUGUCCAAGGAACAGCAGCUGCCUUUGGAGUAUGGAAAACCACAGAAGAAACUGGAACUGUCUAUGAAAGUCAAACCACCCACCUCUUCAAACACUUGGGGCUACAGGUGACCUUCCAGGCUUUGCUGUUACACCAUUUCAGGAGCCCUCCUUCCCUCUGGGGCUGCCUCUGCUUGAAAGCAGAGGAGGCCUGUCGUGUUGCCAAAUCCAUUGCUGCAGACCUCUUGGUUCCCCAAGAGAAGGGGUAAAGGCUCUUUUUGAUCCCACUGCACAUCUCUGGGCUCUGCUGACCUCCCGACAUGGAGAGCACUGUGAGGAGGAAGAGGACUCAGCACGUGACUAGACUUUGCAGCCAGCUCUGGACCACAAGCUCCUUGCCCCAGAUACAUGCUAGACUCUUGCUGAUAUCCUUUGCCAUAUGGGACGUGCAUGGUGCUGCUUCCUCCUGGCUGCCACUCAUGGGGUUCUGCUCCGGCUCCGAAGCUCCGUGUGUGGGAACUGCUCCUGGCUGGGGCUCAUCUCUGUCUGCAGGAGCUGCUCGGCCUCUUUCAGCACAUCCCAGUCUGCUUGGAGCAAGCAUCUCUUCUCCAGAGACAGACAGAAGUUGCAUUCAGCUGAGAGCCGGAGGCUUCUCUCGGUACAAAUCGCCCUGCAAUGCUGCUGUGUCGGGAUGGAGAAAGGCAGAUCUGCAGCCGGACUGCAGAGGCAGCUCAGUGACCCAGUGCUGCCCCAGGCAUGCAAUGGGUGAGGUCUGGGGUCCCCUUUGGGCUAAGGGGAAUUGCGUGGGUUUGCAUUUCUCAGCCCUGCUGUGGACUUAG